CUUCCACCACAAACUCUUGACCUCUGUAUUUUCUCUUGUCAGUAGUUUGCAGUUACUUUGGUGUGUGGGCAAUAAGAUUAGGGUGGUGUUGGUUGAUAAUUAUUAUCCUCACUCCCCUGCUAUCAUGGUGGGAUGAGCCCUUCUUCAUUUAAAUGGAUACAAUAAUUGAUUUUAAGGAGUCAUCCCCAACCCGAAGGUGAUGAUAUGAAAUGUGACCUUUAGCGAGGGCUCUGUCGGUGUGCGGGCUCAUAAGCAGGUCCAGCUGAGCAGUAUUUUAACCUGACUCUACAAGUUAAUAAAAACUGCUGGCAAAAGCACUUGAACUGCAUGCAGUGACUGCUGGGACACGAGGGGAAAGCUGUCGAUAUGAAGAGGAUGGCGCACUGACCAGGCUCCUGAUUACAGGAAGAGUGGGAAAUGACUUAUGCAAUUUGAUGCAUCACUUGUGUGUAAUUCGCAGUAAGAGAUUUGUCAUGUUUGUUGCAAAAGCUGAGAUGUGUGUUAAACAUUGCGAUCUCCAAAAUCAACAUUGACACUUUUCCAAAGACAGAUUUUGUUUUGCUUAAACAGAAAAACGAGUCUUAAAAAAAGUGGUGAACUGCGUGUGAUCUUUCCAUCUUUCUUCCACACACGUUAUCAAAUCAAAUGUAAAUUGUAGUUUUGAGGCAUAUAGGGUAUUACGGUAUAAAAAGCCAUUAUAUUCCAGUGACCGAAUCCUGCAUGGACGGUUAAUUCUGGCCCUGGACUAACGAGCCAAACCGUAAUUGCAUCACUACAACUUCACACCCGUUGACCUUCGGUGGAGUAUAUAAAACCGGCACCUUCUGUUAUUCGGUCGGAUAGUCUAGAAAGCAUCCGUUCGAUAGGAUCGGAGCCUUUUGACACGUCCAUGGGUGGUAGCAGAUGGGUUCUUGGACAGGCUAUACGUCCAGUCUUUGGAUUGACAAUGAAUUGGAGGAAUCCUAAGCGAAGAUGAGAAGAAUGCAUCACGUACACGGCAC
Long non-coding RNA from Gadus chalcogrammus (walleye pollock), 1001 nucleotides. RefSeq lists it as uncharacterized. The transcript has 4 exons. The record is from RefSeq and is a predicted model, not a curated record. NCBI's taxonomy places the organism in Eukaryota, Metazoa, Chordata, Actinopteri, Gadiformes, Gadidae.